UACGUAGGGUGCAAGCGUUAAUCGGAAUUACUGGGCGUAAAGCGUGCGCAGGCGGUGAUGUAAGACAGGUAUGUAAAUCCCCGGGCUACCACUGGGAACUGCAUUUGUGACUGCAUCGCUGGAGUACGGCGAGAGGGGGAUGGAAUGUCCGCGUGUAGCAGUGAAAUGCGUAGAUAUGCGGAGGAACACCGAUGGCGAAGGCAAUCCCCUGGGCCUGCUCACGUGCGCUCAUGCACGAAAGCGUGGGGAGCAAACAGG
RNAcentral lists this ribosomal RNA (258 nucleotides) under uncultured bacterium. Its description in RNAcentral is "partial 16S ribosomal RNA". It matches the Rfam family "Bacterial small subunit ribosomal RNA", at positions 524 to 776 of the family's 1533-position model. The record is from RNAcentral.